GUCUGACGCAGCCACGCCGCGUGAGUGAAGAAGGCCUUCGGGUUGUAAAGCUCUGUCACCUGGGACGAAAAACCAGUGGGUUAAUAGCCCACCGGUCUGACGGUACCAGGGGAGGAAGCACCGGCUAACUCUGUGCCAGCAGCCGCGGUAAUAAUC
This 156-nucleotide ribosomal RNA is filed under the name uncultured bacterium. RNAcentral describes it as "partial 16S ribosomal RNA". It matches the Rfam family "Bacterial small subunit ribosomal RNA", at positions 381 to 526 of the family's 1533-position model. The record is from RNAcentral.